CUGAGGGGCCUCGGCCCCGUCAAGAUACCACCCCUUGCAUUUUGAGUACCUCCUGUUUCCUCGGCGGGUCCGCCCGCCAAUGGGGACCACAACAAACCCUCCUGUAGUUGCAGUAAGCGUCCAAAAACACAAUUAAAUCA
Molecule: unclassified non-coding RNA, 140 nt
Filed under: uncultured fungus
Lineage: Eukaryota; Fungi
Description: sequence contains ITS1, 5.8S rRNA gene
Source: RNAcentral